This 549-nucleotide long non-coding RNA is filed under the name Brassica rapa (field mustard). RNAcentral describes it as "long non-coding RNA (BRAP_LNC004778)". The record is from RNAcentral. Lineage: Eukaryota; Viridiplantae; Streptophyta; Magnoliopsida; Brassicales; Brassicaceae.
AAACUAAUUAUCUGUCGUAAAAAAAACUAUGAGAGAUUGAACACCACCAACAAUCGAGGAGAUAUCGGCCAUCUACUCGAGCUAGAACCGCGAAAAAGACCAACACAUGAAAAAACUAUUGCACCAGAACAGAGAACCGCCAACAAACCAUCACCAGACCCAAGACAGAAGAAUACAAUGAGCUCUAUCAAAGCUGAAGAACAAGAGAUCAACCUUACUCCACAUUAACAAAAACGGAGGACGAGGAUAAUAUAACCAAUGAAAUUAAAUGAGUAACUAAAAUCUAAAAUGAGAAGUAGCAGAGGCAUGCUUAAUGUGCAUUUAAAAAGGCCAUUGUCUCAGGCCCCGGGAGAUAAUACGAUUUUUGGGGUCCCAUUUCAUGAACUGUUGUGUAUCAUACUAUAGCUGUACAACAUUAAAUUCUAUUUGUCCCCAUUCCAAGUUUGACACCCUAAGUUAAUUUUAGUUUUCUUUGUUUUCCAAAUAAGAUUAGGAAAGCGAAAUCUUUUUUUAUCUUGACAAGUUUCCAAAUAGAAAAGAUGUAUCUCC